GCCUGCGUGGCUCAGUCGGUUGAGCGUCCGACUUCGGCUCAGGUUAUUAUCUCAUGGUCUGUGAGUUCGAGUCCCGCCUCGGGCU
RNAcentral lists this transfer RNA (85 nucleotides) under Felis catus (domestic cat). It matches the Rfam family "tRNA". From Rfam's summary of the family: Transfer RNA (tRNA) molecules are approximately 80 nucleotides in length. Their secondary structure includes four short double-helical elements and three loops (D, anti-codon, and T loops). Further hydrogen bonds mediate the characteristic L-shaped molecular structure. tRNAs have two regions of fundamental functional importance: the anti-codon, which is responsible for specific mRNA codon recognition, and the 3' end, to which the tRNAs corresponding amino acid is attached (by aminoacyl-tRNA synthetases). tRNAs cope with the degeneracy of the genetic code in two manners: having more than one tRNA (with a specific anti-codon) for a particular amino acid; and 'wobble' base-pairing, i.e. permitting non-standard base-pairing at the 3rd anti-codon position. The record is from Rfam by way of RNAcentral. Lineage: Eukaryota; Metazoa; Chordata; Mammalia; Carnivora; Felidae.